RNAcentral lists this transfer RNA (73 nucleotides) under Candidatus Lambdaproteobacteria bacterium. Its description in RNAcentral is "tRNA-Arg". It matches the Rfam family "tRNA". Rfam says of the family: Transfer RNA (tRNA) molecules are approximately 80 nucleotides in length. Their secondary structure includes four short double-helical elements and three loops (D, anti-codon, and T loops). Lineage: Bacteria; Pseudomonadati; Pseudomonadota; Candidatus Lambdaproteobacteria. The record is from RNAcentral.
GCUCCCGUAGUUAAACUGGAUAUAACGGCGGAUUGCGAUUCCGCUGUUGUGGGUUCGAGACCUGCCGGGAGCA